GGGAAGCAGGCAGAUCCUCUUCGGAGGUGACGCCUGUGGAACGAGCGGCGGACGGGUGAGUAACACGUGGGCAACCUGCCUGUAAGAUUGGGAUAACCCCGGGAAACCGGGGCUAAUACCGGAUAAUACUUUUCGUUGCAUAACGAGAAGUUGAAAGGCGGCUUUUAGCUGUCACUUACAGAUGGGCCCGCGGCGCAUUAGCUAGUUGGUAAGGUAACGGCUUACCAAGGCGACGAUGCGUAGCCGACCUGAGAGGGUGAUCGGCCACACUGGGACUGAGACACGGCCCAGACUCCUACGGGAGGCAGCAGUAGGGAAUCUUCCGCAAUGGACGAAAGUCUGACGGAGCAACGCCGCGUGAGUGAUGAAGGUUUUCGGAUCGUAAAACUCUGUUGUCAGGGAAGAACAAGUGCCGUUCAAAUAGGGCGGCACCUUGACGGUACCUGACCAGAAAGCCCCGGCUAACUACGUGCCAGCAGCCGCGGUAAUACAUAGGGGGCAAGCGUUGUCCGGAAUUAUUGGGCGUAAAGCGCGCGCAGGCGGUCCUUUAAGUCUGAUGUGAAAGCCCACGGCUUAACCGUGGAGGGCCAUUGGAAACUGGAGGACUUGAGUACAGAAGAGGAGAGUGGAAUUCCACGUGUAGCGGUGAAAUGCGUAGAGAUGUGGAGGAACACCAGUGGCGAAGCGACUCUCUGGUCUGUAACUGACGCUGAGGUGCGAAAGCGUGGGGAGCGAACAGGAUUAGAUACCCUGGUAGUCCACGCCGUAAACGAUGAGUGCUAGGUGUUAAGGGGUUUCCGCCCCUUAGUGCUGAAGUUAACGCAUUAAGCACUCCGCCUGGGGAGUACGGCCGCAAGGCUGAAACUCAAAAGAAUUGACGGGGGCCCGCACAAGCGGUGGAGCAUGUGGUUUAAUUCGAAGCAACGCGAAGAACCUUACCAGGUCUUGACAUCCUCUGCCAAUCCUAGAGAUAGGAUGUUCCCUUCGGGGACAGAGUGACAGGUGGUGCAUGGUUGUCGUCAGCUCGUGUCGUGAGAUGUUGGGUUAAGUCCCGCAACGAGCGCAACCCUUGAUCUUAGUUGCCAGCAUUUAGUUGGGCACUCUAAGGUGACUGCCGGUGACAAACCGGAGGAAGGUGGGGAUGACGUCAAAUCAUCAUGCCCCUUAUGACCUGGGCUACACACGUGCUACAAUGGAUGGAACAAAGGGCAGCGAAGCCGCGAGGUCAAGCAAAUCCCAUAAAACCAUUCUCAGUUCGGAUUGCAGGCUGCAACUCGCCUGCAUGAAGCCGGAAUCGCUAGUAAUCGC
This 1308-nucleotide ribosomal RNA is filed under the name Virgibacillus salarius. RNAcentral's name for it is "bacterial SSU rRNA". It matches the Rfam family "Bacterial small subunit ribosomal RNA", at positions 48 to 1345 of the family's 1533-position model. The record is from RNAcentral. Lineage: Bacteria; Bacillati; Bacillota; Bacilli; Caryophanales; Bacillaceae.